ACCCCUACGGGAGGCAGCAGUAGGGAAUCUUCCACAAUGGACGAAAGUCUGAUGGAGCAACGCCGCGUGAGUGAAGAAGGGUUUCGGCUCGUAAAGCUCUGUUGGUAGUGAAGAAAGAUAGAGGUAGUAACUGGCUUUUAUUUUACGGUAAUUACUUAGAAAGUCACGGGUAACUACGUGCCAGCAGCCGCGGUAAUACGUAGGUGGCAAGCGUUGUCCGGGCUUAUUGGGCGUAAAGCGAGUGCAGGCG
RNAcentral lists this ribosomal RNA (250 nucleotides) under uncultured bacterium. RNAcentral's name for it is "partial 16S ribosomal RNA". It matches the Rfam family "Bacterial small subunit ribosomal RNA", at positions 335 to 577 of the family's 1533-position model. The record is from RNAcentral.